AACGAACGCUGGCGGCAUGCCUAACACAUGCAAGUCGAACGAGAUCUUCGGGUCUAGUGGCGCACGGGUGCGUAACGCGUGGGAAUCUGCCCUUUGGUUCGGAAUAACAGUUGGAAACGACUGCUAAUACCGGAUGAUGACGAAAGUCCAAAGAUUUAUCGCCAGAGGAUGAGCCCGCGUAGGACUAGCUAGUUGGUGUGGUAAAGGCGCACCAAGGCGACGAUCCUUAGCUGGUCUGAGAGGAUGAUCAGCCACACUGGGACUGAGACACGGCCCAGACUCCUACGGGAGGCAGCAGUGGGGAAUACUGGACAAUGGGCGAAAGCCUGAUCCAGCAAUGCCGCGUGAGUGAUGAAGGCCUUAGGGUUGUAAAGCUCUUUUACCCGGGAUGAUAACGACAGUACCGGGAGAAUAAGCUCCGGCUAACUCCGUGCCAGCAGCCGCCGUAA
This 449-nucleotide ribosomal RNA is filed under the name uncultured bacterium. RNAcentral's name for it is "partial 16S ribosomal RNA". It matches the Rfam family "Bacterial small subunit ribosomal RNA", at positions 29 to 523 of the family's 1533-position model. The record is from RNAcentral.